RNAcentral lists this ribosomal RNA (304 nucleotides) under uncultured Pelotomaculum sp. Its description in RNAcentral is "bacterial SSU rRNA". It matches the Rfam family "Bacterial small subunit ribosomal RNA", at positions 1078 to 1382 of the family's 1533-position model. Lineage: Bacteria; Bacillati; Bacillota; Clostridia; Eubacteriales; Desulfotomaculaceae. The record is from RNAcentral.
GGUUAAGUCCGCAACGAGCGCAACCCCUACGUUUAGUUGCUAACGCGUGAAGGCGAGCACUCUAGACGAACUGCCGUUGACAAAACGGAGGAAGGUGGGGAUGACGUCAAAUCAUCAUGCCCCUUAUGUUCUGGGCUACACACGUGCUACAAUGGCCGGUACAGACGGACGCAAAGCCGCGAGGUGGAGCAAAUCCUAAAAAGCCGGUCUCAGUUCGGAUUGCAGGCUGCAAUUCGCCUGCAUGAAGUCGGAAUCGCUAGUAAUCGCAGGUCAGCAUACUGCGGUGAAUACGUUCCCGGGCCUU